Molecule: long non-coding RNA, 575 nt
Filed under: Homo sapiens (human)
Lineage: Eukaryota; Metazoa; Chordata; Mammalia; Primates; Hominidae
Description: HSALNT0012900
Source: RNAcentral
CAUUCUCCAAGUCUGAGUUAUUUGGUCAAAAAAACCUCCAAAUGCUUCAGACAACUCUCGCAAACUUGUCAUAGCUUUUGGUAUUCCAGGCCACAGAAGAGCCCAGGUCACAUUGGGAAACGCAUGAACAUCCAAAAGUGCCUAGGACCCCGACUCUGGCUGUGGCUGUGGAUGCUUCUGAACAGUGCUAAGUGGAAGCCCAUGAAAGAACAGACUGUUCUCAAGGCCCAUGGAGGAAAAGAUGUUACAAGCCAUCCCUCCAGAUUCCUGGACAAGCUCUGAGUCCCUGCCCAGAAACCAAAAGGCAGAAUCAGUGUUACAUUUGUGGUCAGAUGAGCUAACGACAUCCUUCCUGACUUCUUUCUCAGAAUUAGGAAACCCUGAUUAGCAUUUAGAACCUCAUUUUCACAGACUUCACUCAUUAAAACAUCAAGACCUAGGUAACGCACCACUGAAAUUUCAUAAUAUGGAGGAUAUGUUUAAAUAUGUUUAAAAUAUGUAUUUUUAACUGUGGUUAAAAUAUGUUUUUAAAAUGUUUAUGAGUCAAAAUAAUUAAAAUUGCCAUUUAACGUAAG